This 494-nucleotide ribosomal RNA is filed under the name uncultured bacterium. RNAcentral describes it as "partial 16S ribosomal RNA". It matches the Rfam family "Bacterial small subunit ribosomal RNA", at positions 28 to 507 of the family's 1533-position model. The record is from RNAcentral.
GACGAACGCUGGCGGCGUGCUUAACACAUGCAAGUCGAACGGUGAAGCGCCUUCCUUUUUGGUGGGUGUGGAUGAGUGGCGAACGGGUGAGUAACACGUGAGUAACCUGCCCCCUUCUUCUGGAUAACCGCAUGAAAGUGUGGCUAAUACGGGAUAUUCUGGGUCUGUCGCAUGAUGGGUCUGGGAAAGAUAUUGUUUCGGUGGGGGAUGGGCUCGCGGCCUAUCAGCUUGUUGGUGGGGUGAUGGCCUACCAAGGCGGUGACGGGUAGCCGGCCUGAGAGGGUGGACGGUCACACUGGGACUGAGGCACGGCCCAGACUCCUACGGGAGGCAGCAGUGGGGAAUAUUGCACAAUGGGCGCAAGCCUGAUUCAGCGACGCCGCGUGAGGGAUGGAGGCCUUCGGGUUGUGAACCUCUUUCGCCAGUGAAGCAGGCCUGCCUCGUUUGUGGGUGGGUUGACGGUAGCUGGAUAAGAAGCGCCGGCUAACUACGUG